GGAGACUGGCUUCAACACCAUCAAUGCAGGUUUAUACAGGUAAAGCUGACUGGAGACUGGCUUUCACACCAUCAAUGCAGGUAAAGCUGACUGGAGACUGGCUUUCACACCAUCAAUGCAGGUAAAGCUGACUGGAGACUGGCUUUCACACCAUCAAUGCAGGUAAAGCUGACUGGAGACUGGCUUUCACACCAUCAAUGCAGGUAAAGCUGACUGGAGACUGGCUUUCACACCAUCAAUGCAGGUAAAGCUGACUGGAGACUGGCUUUCACACCAUCAAUGCAGGUAAAGCUGACUGGAGACUGGCUUUCACACCAUCAAUGCAGGUAAAGCUGACUGGAGACUGGCUUUCACACCAUCAAUGCAGGUAAAGCUGACUGGAGACUGGCUUUCACACCAUCAAUGCAGGUAAAGCUGACUGGAGACUGGCUUUCACACCAUCAAUGCAGGUAAAGCUGACUGGAGACUGGCUUUCACACCAUCAAUGCAGGUAAAGCUGACUGGAGACUGGCUUUCACACCAUCAAUGCAGGUAAAGCUGACUGGAGACUGGCUUUCACACCAUCAAUGCAGGUAAAGCUGACUGGAGACUGGCUUUCACACCAUCAAUGCAGGUAAAGCUGACUGGAGACUGGCUUUCACACCAUCAAUGCAGGUAAAGCUGACUGGAGACUGGCUUUCACACCAUCAAUGCAGGUAAAGCUGACUGGAGACUGGCUUUCACACCAUCAAUGCAGGUAAAGCUGACUGGAGACUGGCUUUCACACCAUCAAUGCAGGUAAAGCUGACUGGAGACUGGCUUUCACACCAUCAAUGCAGGUAAAGCUGACUGGAGACUGGCUUCAGCACCAUCAGUAGGCGUUGUUUGUCUGUUGUAAUAUACACUCAGAGGUCUAGUUUAGAUUGAAAUACCAAUUGAAACUGAUAUCAGCCUCCAUUGUAAUACAAGGACACACACACCACACAAGCACGCAUGCAAAACGCACACACACUUCAACAAACUCCCAGACCCCAUAUCCGUGAUUAUAUCAGCCCAAUGUAUCUCUGGCAUGUGCAGCACUACACCACACCAAGCACAGUGUUUAUGUUAAAGCACAUCCCAGUUAGAAGCAAUGGGAGGAACUGUUCAGAAUGCUAGCCAAUAGAAUCCACUAUUAACCAGGGUCCUCUAGACUCCAAGCCACUGAUAAAACACUGUCAAUCCAAAGCCGAAAGACAACUGACAACCCUCUCCAGUGGUUAAAAAGUGAUGUGUGAAAUGUUAAUGAAUAACAGUGUCUCUGUGCACUGUGGGGG
Long non-coding RNA from Oncorhynchus keta (chum salmon), 1295 nucleotides. RefSeq lists it as uncharacterized. The transcript is spliced from 3 exons. Lineage: Eukaryota; Metazoa; Chordata; Actinopteri; Salmoniformes; Salmonidae. The record is from RefSeq and is a predicted model, not a curated record.